Molecule: ribosomal RNA, 492 nt
Filed under: uncultured bacterium
Lineage: Bacteria
Description: partial 16S ribosomal RNA
Rfam family: Bacterial small subunit ribosomal RNA
Source: RNAcentral
AGUGAACGCUGGCGGUAGGCCUAACACAUGCAAGUCGAACGGCAGCACAGUAAGAGCUUGCUCUUACGGGUGGCGAGUGGCGGACGGGUGAGGACUACAUCGGAAUCUACUUUUUCGUGGGGGAUAACGUAGGGAAACUUACGCUAAUACCGCAUACGACCUACGGGUGAAAGCAGGGGAUCUUCGGACCUUGCGCGAUUGAAUGAGCCGAUGUCGGAUUAGCUAGUUGGCGGGGUAAAUGCCCACCAAGGCGACGAUCCGUAGCUGGUCUGAGAGGAUGAUCAGCCACACUGGAACUGAGACACGGUCCAGACUCCUACGGGAGGCAGCAGUGGGGAAUAUUGGACAAUGGGCGCAAGCCUGAUCCAGCCAUACCGCGUGGGUGAAGAAGGCCUUCGGGUUGUAAAGCCCUUUUGUUGGGAAAGAAAAGCAGCAGGUUAAUACCCCGCUGUUCUGACGGUACCCAAAGAAUAAGCACCGGCUAACUUCGUG